This 1432-nucleotide ribosomal RNA is filed under the name uncultured fungus. RNAcentral's name for it is "eukaryotic LSU rRNA". The stretch from base 692 to 1432 matches the Rfam family "Eukaryotic large subunit ribosomal RNA", at positions 1 to 649 of the family's 3401-position model. Lineage: Eukaryota; Fungi. The record is from RNAcentral.
CGUAACAAGGUAACCGUAGGUGAACCUGCGGUUGGAUCAUUAACAAAUGUCGGUAAACGCCCGGCUGCCUCUGGCGGCAGGGUUGUUUAUUCACCCCAACUGUUGAACCUUUUUGUAUCUGGCGGGUUAAAACAAGUGCAAGCUUGGUUCUCUGGAUCACCCGCUGUAUAUGUUUUAAACUAUAUGAUUUAUUACUGGUCAUUAAAAGUGUGAUGUUUAACAAAACAAAACAACUUUUGGCAACGGAUCUCUAGGCUCUUGCAACGAUGAAGAACGCAGCGAAAUGCGAUAAGUAAUGUGAAUUGCAGAAUUCGUGAAUCAUUAAAUCUUUGAACGCACAUUGCGCUCCAGGGUAUUCCUUGGAGCAUGUCUGUUUGAGAAUCAGUUUAACUCUCAUUCUCUAGUUUCUUGGCAACGAGAAGCUAGUUGGAUGGACUUGGGAUAUUUCAGAGUUUUGCUCUGAAUGUGCCCGAAAUACAAGUUUUACCAACAAUGGUUUCUAGUUGUUCCUGGAAUAUAGUUUUUCCAAGAUCCGAAAGCAUGAGUAGUAAAGUGAGCAAUCGCUUUUUCCCAUUGCUGACAAGGACCUUGGAGAGCUGGAUUCGGGAGAAUGCAGCGAGGAAUCGGUAGAAUGCAACCUAAACAGUUGCAACAAACACGAUUGUUUGCCCCGGCAAACUUUCAAGACUAUUGAUCUCAAAUCAGACAAGACUACCCGCUGAACUUAAGCAUAUCAUAAGCGGAGGAAAAGAAACUAACAGGAUUCCCCUAGUAACGGCGAGUGAAGCGGGAAUAGCUCAAAUUUGAAAUCUCACAGGUUCCCUGUGCGAAUUGUAGUUUAAAGAAGUGUUUUCGGGAGUUGGCCAGAUCCAAGUUCUUUGGAACAAGGCAUCAUAGAGGGUGAGAAUCCCGUAUAUGGUUUGGCUUGACAAACUCCUUUGUGAUACACUUUCAAAGAGUCGGGUUGUUUGGGAAUGCAGCCCAAAACGGGUGGUAAAUACCAUCUAAAGCUAAAUACUGGCAAGAGACCGAUAGCGAACAAGUACCGUGAGGGAAAGAUGAAAAGAACUUUGAAAAGAGGGUUAAAUAGUACGUGAAAUUGCCAAAAGGGAAACGCUUGAAACCAGUCUUGCGUGCGGAAUCCCAACUGUUUCGCAAGAAGCAGCACAUGUUUCCGUAUUGCAGGUCAACAUCGGUUUCUCUUGGAGUAAAAGGGCAAGAGAAAGGUAGCCUCUCGAUUCGUUGGGGGGUGUUAUAGACUCUUGUUUCGAUGCUCUGGGGGAGACCGAGGACAGCAGCAGAGCCUUGGAGGAACCUCUCGCUGGUAAAGGCAUUUGCUUGGACAACUUGUUGACCAAGUGAGUGUACGAUGCCAACCGGGGGGUGUACUACUACUUUGCUUAGGAUGUUGACAAAAUGGUUUUAAACGACC